ACAAAAUGGACUAUCUCUUCAAAAGCAAAGGAAAAAAACCCAGCACUUCUGGAAAAACAAUUAAACAUCCUACUAGAGCAAUUUAUCUACAAUGACUGCCCCCAGCGCAGUGAUUGAGCUCCUUGAUCCCCAUGAGUUUCUUUCAUGGAACUCAAUGAUACCUUCUUGGAAGCAGGCCAGCUGACUGGUGCUGAGUGAUGACCACAGUCUGAGGAAGACUUGAGGAAGGGCUCUCAGUACCCAGAAAUGGGGAGUACAAAGUAUGGGGCCAGUGUGAGGCUUGUGCCCCAGGCUGACCAGAGUCCAACCUGGAACACUACUGGCUGGUGCUGACCUCCCUUCUACUCUUGAAGACUGGACACUCAAGAGCAGCUCUCAGGGGUCUCUUGGGUAGUAUUUCUCAAGCACAGUUUCAUGUCCCUGACAACCCAUUCAGACAGAGGUAGCAGAUGUAGUGGAAAGGGCAUAACAGUUGUCACCGCACAGUCUUGAGUGCAAAUCCUGGAGCUUGAAUGGCAAGGCAUAUGUGAAAGACCCAGAACUCUCCUG
RNAcentral lists this long non-coding RNA (549 nucleotides) under Urocitellus parryii (Arctic ground squirrel). Its description in RNAcentral is "lncRNA (ENSUPAG00010020272.1)". The record is from RNAcentral. Lineage: Eukaryota; Metazoa; Chordata; Mammalia; Rodentia; Sciuridae.